CCUGAUGCAGCAACGCCGCGUGAGCGAUGAAGGCCUUCGGGUCGUAAAACUCUGUCCUCAAGGAAGAUAAUGACGGUACUUGAGGAGGAAGCCCCGGCUAACUACGUGCCAGCAGCCGCGGUAAUACGUAGGGGGCUAGCGUUAUCCGGAUUUACUGGGCGUAAAGGGUGCGUAGGUGGUUUCUUAAGUCCGGAGUGAAAGGCUACGGCUCAACCGUAAUAAGCUCUUGAAACUGGGAAACUUGACUGCAAGACAGGAAAGUGGAAUUCCUAAUGUAGCGGUGAAAUGCGUAGAUAUUACGAGGAACACCAUUAGCGAAAGCGGCUUUCUGGA
This 333-nucleotide ribosomal RNA is filed under the name uncultured bacterium. RNAcentral's name for it is "bacterial SSU rRNA". It matches the Rfam family "Bacterial small subunit ribosomal RNA", at positions 382 to 733 of the family's 1533-position model. The record is from RNAcentral.